Molecule: ribosomal RNA, 253 nt
Filed under: uncultured bacterium
Lineage: Bacteria
Description: partial 16S ribosomal RNA
Rfam family: Bacterial small subunit ribosomal RNA
Source: RNAcentral
UACGUACCGUACGAACGUUAUUCGGAAUUACUGGGCUUAAAGGGUGCGUAGGCUGUGCAGAAAGUUGGGUGUGAAAUCCCCCGGCUCAACCGGGGAAUGGCGCCCAAAACUACUGUGCUCGAGGAAGACAGAGGUAAGCGGAACUUCGGGUGGAGCGGUGAAAUGCGUUGAUAUCCGAAGGAACACCGGUGGCGAAAGCGGCUUACUGGGUCUUUUCUGACGCUGAUGCACGAAAGCUAGGGUAGCGAACGGG